GUCCAACAACAUCAGGAGGGCACUAUGUUGGAUUCUCCUGAUCUAAAACAAUAAGAUUUCACUGCAAAUUAUGUUUCAGUUCUAUAAACUACUAUGAAUGACAUUAUAUGUGCUUACUGUAUUCAUAUUUUGAAGCUGAAGUUGCUCCAAAGAACUCACUUCGCCAUCUUGGCCUUGCAACAGCCCUGGGAGAUAGCUGAAAAACAGGUGCUUGCCCAAAUCUGCCAAAUGAUCAUCAUUGGUACUUGAUUAAAUGAGCACUUCCUAAAAGCUACAAGGGAGAAAUUGUAAAUUUCUGAAGAUAAUUAUACACUUACAUAAAUCAAAGACUUUAAAGUUGAAUUUGUAUUAUAUAUUAAUUUACAAGAAAUAAAGCAUAUACAUGAAUAUAA
This is a long non-coding RNA of Lacerta agilis (Sand lizard), 392 nucleotides long. RefSeq lists it as uncharacterized. Lineage: Eukaryota; Metazoa; Chordata; Lepidosauria; Squamata; Lacertidae. The record is from RefSeq and is a predicted model, not a curated record. The transcript is spliced from 2 exons.